RNAcentral lists this transfer RNA (67 nucleotides) under Ischalia sp. BMNH 840493. RNAcentral's name for it is "tRNA-Asn". The record is from RNAcentral. Lineage: Eukaryota; Metazoa; Arthropoda; Insecta; Coleoptera; Anthicidae.
UUAAUUGAAACCAAAAUAGAGGUAUAUUACUGUUAAUAAUAAAAAUGAACUUAGCUUUCCAAUUAAA